RNAcentral lists this transfer RNA (63 nucleotides) under Phloeotribus sp. BMNH 1047247. RNAcentral describes it as "tRNA-Asp". Lineage: Eukaryota; Metazoa; Arthropoda; Insecta; Coleoptera; Curculionidae. The record is from RNAcentral.
AAGAAUUUAGUUAAUUCAAUAACGUUAAUUUGUCAAAUUAAAAUUAUUUAAAAAUAAUUCUUU